GACGAACGCUGGCGGCGUGCUUAACACAUGCAAGUCGAACGAUGAAGCGCCUUCCUUUUUGGUGGGUGUGGAUGAGUGGCGAACGGGUGAGUAACACGUGAGUAACCUGCCCCCUUCUUCUGGAUAACCGCAUGAAAGUGUGGCUAAUACGGGAUAUUCUGGGUCUGUCGCAUGAUGGGUCUGGGAAAGAUAUUGUUUCGGUGGGGGAUGGGCUCGCGGCCUAUCAGCUUGUUGGUGGGGUGAUGGCCUACCAAGGCGGUGACGGGUAGCCGGCCUGAGAGGGUGGACGGUCACACUGGGACUGAGACACGGACCAGACUCCGACGGGAGGCAGCAGUGGGGAAUAUUGCACAAUGGGCGCAAGCCUGAUGCAGCGACGCCGCGUGAGGGAUGGAGGCCUUCGGGUUGUGAACCUCUUUCGCCAGUGAAGCAGGCCUGCCUCGUUUGUGGGUGGGUUGACGGUAGCUGGAUAAGAAGCGCCGGCUAACUACGUG
This 494-nucleotide ribosomal RNA is filed under the name uncultured bacterium. Its description in RNAcentral is "partial 16S ribosomal RNA". It matches the Rfam family "Bacterial small subunit ribosomal RNA", at positions 28 to 507 of the family's 1533-position model. The record is from RNAcentral.